GAUUUGCUUUCUCCACUCUAAACAAUCUAAACGAUUUUGGGUUAAAAUGCUUUUAUAAAAGUAUAAAUUAAUUCCUUUCCACAACUGCCUUUGCCUUUCUCAUGUGAACAAAAAAUUCAUGCAAGCAUACAUUUUUGUUGUUUCUUUUGCUUUAUAAUGAAAUCAAAAUUUAUUAAAAAUUUAAGAAAGCAAAAGUAAGAACUUGAAUUAAAUGGAGCUUCAACUUUUUUGAGCAUUAAUCUACUCAUGUCCCAAAAUUUUCUUUCACUGUUCUUUAUUUUGUCCUUAACUGGAACUGAAUGGCAUUUAAGUUUUGUGCUUGUUUUGUGAUAGCAGAACUUUUAAAUGGUUCUUACUGUGGUUAUUGAUAGUUUCUUCAUCCUUCUACCUUGACCAUAUGUUAAACUUUCAGCAACUUGCUGAUUGUCAUCUUCCGUUUUAGGAGUAUUUUGGAUCACUAAUAG
RNAcentral lists this unclassified non-coding RNA (464 nucleotides) under Hevea brasiliensis (rubber tree). The record is from RNAcentral. Lineage: Eukaryota; Viridiplantae; Streptophyta; Magnoliopsida; Malpighiales; Euphorbiaceae.